GACGAACGCUGGCGGCGUGCUUAACACAUGCAAGUCGAACGGAAAGGCCCUGCUUUUGUGGGGUGCUCGAGUGGCGAACGGGUGAGUAACACGUGAGUAACCUGCCCUUUACUUUGGGAUAACUUCAGGAAACUGGGGCUAAUACCGGAUAGGAGCUCCUGCUGCAUGGUGGGGGUUGGAAAGUUUCGGUGGUUGGGGAUGGACUCGCGGCUUAUCAGCUUGUUGGUGGGGGAGUGGCUUACCAAGGCUUUGACGGGUAGCCGGCCUGAGAGGGUGACCGGCCACAUUGGGACUGAGAUACGGCCCAGACUGCUACGGGAGGCAGCAGGGGGGAAUAUGGCACAAUGGGCGGAAGCCUGAGGCAGCAACGCCGCGUGCGGGAUGACGGCUUUCGGGUUGGAAACCGCUGUCGCCUGUGACGAAGCGGGAGUGACGGUAAUGGGUAAAGAAGCACCGGCUAACUACGUG
This 468-nucleotide ribosomal RNA is filed under the name uncultured bacterium. Its description in RNAcentral is "partial 16S ribosomal RNA". It matches the Rfam family "Bacterial small subunit ribosomal RNA", at positions 28 to 507 of the family's 1533-position model. The record is from RNAcentral.